AAUCAACGCUGGCGGCGUGCCUCAGACAUGCAAGUCGAACGCGAAAUCUCCCUUCGGGGAGAAAGUAGAGUGGCGCACGGGUGAGUAACACGUGGGUAAUCUACCUCUGGGUGGGGAAUAACAGUCGGAAACGGCUGCUAAUACCGCAUAAUGCAGCGGCAUCACAUGAUGACAGUUGUUAAAGCGGGGGAGUCGUAAGACCUCGCGCCUUGAGAGGAGCCCGCGGCGGAUUAGCUAGUUGGUAGGGUAACGGCCUACCAAGGCUACGAUCCGUAGCCGGCCUAAGAGGGCGGACGGCCACACUGGCACUGACAUACGGGCCAGACUCCUACGGGAGGCAGCAGUCGGGAAUUUUGGGCAAUGGGCGAAAGCCUCGACCCACGCAACGCCGCGUGAAGGAUGAAGCUUUUCGGUAGUAGUAAACUUAC
This 428-nucleotide ribosomal RNA is filed under the name uncultured bacterium. RNAcentral's name for it is "bacterial SSU rRNA". It matches the Rfam family "Bacterial small subunit ribosomal RNA", at positions 32 to 434 of the family's 1533-position model. The record is from RNAcentral.